RNAcentral lists this non-coding RNA (27 nucleotides) under Rattus norvegicus (Norway rat). Lineage: Eukaryota; Metazoa; Chordata; Mammalia; Rodentia; Muridae. The record is from RNAcentral.
UGAAAUGGGAGUUGGUGCUUUGGGCUG